AGCAGCCGCCGGUAAUUCCAGCUCCAAUAGCGUAUAUUAAAGUUGUUGCAGUUAAAAAGCUCGUAGUUGAAUUUCGGGAUCAAUAUGUCGGUCGUGCCUUCGGUACGUACUGGUAUCAUUGGUCUCUCCUUUCUGACGAACCAUGAUGUCAUUAAUUUGGUGUUAUGGGGAGUUAGGACUUGUUUACUUUAGAAAAAAUU
Molecule: ribosomal RNA, 200 nt
Filed under: uncultured Glomus
Lineage: Eukaryota; Fungi; Glomeromycota; Glomeromycetes; Glomerales; Glomeraceae
Description: partial 18S ribosomal RNA
Rfam family: Eukaryotic small subunit ribosomal RNA
Source: RNAcentral